This 253-nucleotide ribosomal RNA is filed under the name uncultured bacterium. Its description in RNAcentral is "partial 16S ribosomal RNA". It matches the Rfam family "Bacterial small subunit ribosomal RNA", at positions 524 to 776 of the family's 1533-position model. The record is from RNAcentral.
UACGUAGGGUGCAAGCGUUGUCCGGAAUUAUUGGGCGUAAAGAGCUCGUAGGCGGUCAGUCGCGUCUGCUGUGAAAACUCGGGGCUUAACUCCGGGCCUGCAGUGGGUACGGGCUGACUAGAGUGCGGUAGGGGAGACUGGAAUUCCUGGUGUAGCGGUGAAAUGCGCAGAUAUCAGGAGGAACACCGGUGGCGAAGGCGGGUCUCUGGGCAAUAACUGACGCUGAGGAGCGAAAGCGUGGGGAGCAAACAGG